Triticum aestivum (bread wheat) is the source of this 125-nucleotide non-coding RNA. The record is from Rfam. NCBI's taxonomy places the organism in Eukaryota, Viridiplantae, Streptophyta, Magnoliopsida, Poales, Poaceae.
CAUGUACUCCCUCCGUCCGAAAUUACUCGUCGGAGAAAUUAAUAAAAAUGAACGUAUUUAAAACUAAAAUAUGUCUAGAUACAUCCAUUCCUCCGACAAGUAUUUAUGGACGGAGGGAGUAUAUC